Long non-coding RNA from Hemicordylus capensis (graceful crag lizard), 1177 nucleotides. RefSeq lists it as uncharacterized. Lineage: Eukaryota; Metazoa; Chordata; Lepidosauria; Squamata; Cordylidae. The record is from RefSeq and is a predicted model, not a curated record. The transcript has 2 exons.
UUUGUUAAUCACAAGUUGAACCUGUGUCAGCAAUAUGAUGCAGCUGCAAAACAUGAAUCUGAUUUUAGGAUGCAUUAAUCAAACUAUAGUUUCCAAGUCACAAGAAGGACAUCAGAGAUCUCUCAUCUGAGCUCUGCACUUUCAGAGAGGAAGCUGACAAAAUUUGCAAUGAAGGGCAAUGAAGGGCAAUGAAGAUGGUCAUGGGACUGGAAAAGAAGCCUAUACGGAGAUGCUGAAAGAACUAGGCAAAUCCAACCAGUUCUCAACCAAAUCAGCGAAUAUAUUGUCACCCAGGACCAGAGGCUGUCGAUUCCUGCUCUGAGACAUCAGUGAAGAAGUCCAGUCAUUGGUCUCAUCAGAGAACUGGCAUUCUCUGCACCCUGACUUGCUCUCAGACAAGCUGCUUGUGUCUUGGGAAAACCAGCUUCUAGCCAUGUGCUCACUGGAAGACUCAAAUGUCCUUGGUGAAUGGUACUCUGCUGUGCUCACGGUUGACGAAGGCCCACUGCCAUGAUAGUAGUCCUCACUGCUUAUGCUACUAAUGGAUGAAGCCAUGUCCCCAUGGCUACUAUCUGGCAAAGUAAUGUGGUAAAAUGGGUGGGUGGACUGUGACACCGGAGAGGAGCACAAAAAUGCUGAAGAGCUGCAGUCCUCUAAAGAACUCUUUGUCAGCAGUUUCUCAUUUCUCCAGCCAGCUUCAUGCCUGGGCCUUGGCACCUCUUGACUGCUUUGACAAUACUGAUGCUGGCCAAUUCCUGAAACCUGGUUUUGGCUGCUUGAAAUCUCCAGCUGUUCCAAGGCUGUCUGGACCUGGAGGAGCUUCAGCUCUUGCAGAGCACCCAUCAUGCAGUUCAUCUGUUCAUGCAGCCCGUCCCCAACCUCUUUCAUGGAUACCUGUUGGGAGGGAAAAAAAUGUUACUGAAUGAGUGCAGGAGAGGAGGAGGAAGGAGCGGGAUACAGGCAGGUUUCACGGAAAUAACAGAAAGAGAAGUGAACUCUGUUCUCUUCCACUCAUAUAUUAUACAACAGAGUGGAUUUCCUUUCAAUUUUUUUUUAAAGAUUGACAGUCAUAAACAUUUAAUUAUAUGUUUCUAGUCAUAGAUCAUGAUUUUAUUUUUAAAACAUUAGUUUGUUUUAGAAGCAGGAAAAUAAUAUAAAUAAAACAUAUCUGAAAUGA